RNAcentral lists this ribosomal RNA (95 nucleotides) under Bacteroides ovatus. The record is from RNAcentral. Lineage: Bacteria; Pseudomonadati; Bacteroidota; Bacteroidia; Bacteroidales; Bacteroidaceae.
CGAGGGUUCCACCUCUUCCCAUUCCGAACAGAGAAGUUAAGCCUCGUCACGCCGAUGGUACUGCGUAACAGUGGGAGUGUAGGUAGCCGCCGUUU